Molecule: ribosomal RNA, 477 nt
Filed under: uncultured bacterium
Lineage: Bacteria
Description: partial 16S ribosomal RNA
Rfam family: Bacterial small subunit ribosomal RNA
Source: RNAcentral
GAUGAACGCUGGCGGCGUGCCUAACACAUGCAAGUCGAACGAAGCACUUUACCUGAUUCUCCGGAUGAAAGUUUGGUGACUGAGUGGCGGACGGGUGAGUAACGCGUGGGUAAGCUGCCCUGUACAGGGGGAUAACAGCUGGAAACGGCUGCUAAUACUGCAUAAGCGUACGAGGAGACAUCUCUUUGUGUGAAAAACUCCGGAGGCACAGGAUGGGCCCGCGUCUGAUUAGGUGGUUGGCAGGGUAACGGCCUACCAAGGCAACGAGCAGUAGCCGGUCUGGGAGGAUGAGCCACCACGGUAGAGCUAAGACGCGGUCCAAACUCCUAGGGGAAGCAGCAGUGAGGAAUAUUGCACGGUGGAGGGAACCCUGAUGCAACAACGCCGCGUGAAAGAAGGAGUAUGUGGGGAAGUAAAGCUCUAUCAGCAAAGAACAUAAUGACGGUACCUAAGGAAGAAGCUCCGGCUAACUACGUG